GCCAGACUCCUACGGGAGGCAGCAGUGAGGAAUAUUGGUCAAUGGCCGAGAGGCUGAACCAGCCAAGUCGCGUGAGGGAAGACGGCCCUACGGGUUGUAAACCUCUUUUGUCGGGGAGCAAAGCGAGUCACGUGUGACUCAUUGAGAGUACCCGAAGAAAAAGCAUCGGCUAACUCCGUGCCAGCAGCCGCGGUAAUACGGAGGAUGCGAGCGUUAUCCGGAUUUAUUGGGUUUAAAGGGUGCGUAGGCGGGCAUUUAAGCCGGCGGUCAAAUGUCGGGGCUCAACCCCGGCCUGCCGUCGGAACUGGGCGCCUUGAGUGGGCGAGAAGUAUGCGGAAUGCGUGGUGUAGCGGUGAAAUGCAUAGAUAUCACGCAGAACCCCGAUUGCGAAGGCAGCAUACCGGCGCCCUACUGACGCUGAGGCACGAAAGUGCGGGUAUCGAACAGGAUUAGAUACCCGGGUAAU
Molecule: ribosomal RNA, 466 nt
Filed under: uncultured bacterium
Lineage: Bacteria
Description: bacterial SSU rRNA
Rfam family: Bacterial small subunit ribosomal RNA
Source: RNAcentral